This 21-nucleotide small nuclear RNA is filed under the name Arabidopsis thaliana (thale cress). RNAcentral's name for it is "snRNA_16365". Lineage: Eukaryota; Viridiplantae; Streptophyta; Magnoliopsida; Brassicales; Brassicaceae. The record is from RNAcentral.
CGAAAUCCGCUAAGGAGUGUG